CAGCGCCACGGGAAUACGGAGGGUGCAAGCGUUAAUCGGAAUUACUGGGCGUAAAGCGCACGCAGGCGGUCUGUCAAGUCAGAUGUGAAAUCCCCGGGCUUAACCUGGGAACUGCAUUUGAAACUGGCAGGCUAGAGUCUUGUAGAGGGGGGUAGAAUUCCAGGUGUAGCGGUGAAAUGCGUAGAGAUCUGGAGGAAUACCGGUGGCGAAGGCGGCCCCCUGGACAAAGACUGACGCUCAGGUGCGAAAGCGUGGGGAGCAAACAGGAUUAGAUACCCCGGUAGUCCCUGUCUCUUAUACC
Molecule: ribosomal RNA, 301 nt
Filed under: uncultured bacterium
Lineage: Bacteria
Description: partial 16S ribosomal RNA
Rfam family: Bacterial small subunit ribosomal RNA
Source: RNAcentral